RNAcentral lists this unclassified non-coding RNA (256 nucleotides) under Copidosoma floridanum. RNAcentral's name for it is "transcription factor MafG, transcript variant X1". The record is from RNAcentral. Lineage: Eukaryota; Metazoa; Arthropoda; Insecta; Hymenoptera; Encyrtidae.
AGAGUGGCGGCUGGUUAGAAUUUUAACCACCCUUCAGCCUUAGCUCUUGGUCUAUUAGGCACACAUGGUGAAAAGUUAUGGAAAACCACCCAAGGUACUUAUUAGUUUUUCGUCUAAUUGGGAUUUGUAACUCAGCUUUUGAUCGAAGUAAAGGAUCGUAACGAGUUAUUACUGUAUUUACAACUUUUUGGCCGAGAGGGAAAUGGAAAAAAAGAGAUCAUUUAAAAUGGCAUUGUCAAAAACUUGUUAAAAAGGC